AAUGAGUCUUCGCCAAAUAGACGCUUGCGUUAUGCUCGUAGGCGUCGCCCAAGGAUGAGGCCGCGACCGAUCAGGUUGUUGGUGAGGUAAUGGCUCACCAAGCCUUUUACCGGUGCGGGCCGUGAGAGCGGGAGCCCGGAGAUGGGCACUGAGACAAGGGCCCAGGCCCUACGGGGCGCAGCAGUCGCGAAAACUUUGCAAUACACGAAAGUGUGACAGGGCUAUCCCGAGUGCCAUCCGCUGAGGAAGGCUUUUACCCAGUCUAGAACGCUGGGGGAAUAAGGAGAGGGCAAGUCUGGUGUCAGCCGCCGCGGUAAUACCAGCUCUCCGAGUGGUGUGGAUGUUUAUUGGGCCUAAAGCAUCCGUAGCUGGCUAAGUUAGUCCCUUGUUAAAUCCACCGAAUUAAUCGUUGGAUUGCGGGGGAUACUGCUUGGCUAGGGGACGAGAGAGGCAGACGGUAUUUCCGGGGUAGGGGUGAAAUCCUAUAAUCCCGGGAAGACCACCAGUGGCGAAGGCUGUCUGCUAGAACGCGCCCGACGGUGAGGGAUGAAAGCUGGGGGAGCGAACCGGAUUAGAUACCCGGGUAGUCCCAGCUGUAAACGAUGCAGGCUAGGUGUUUGGACGGCCACGUGCCGUUCUAGUGCCGCAGGGAAGCUGCUAAGCCUGCCGCCUGGGGAGUACGAUCGCAAGAUUGAAACUUAAAGGAAUUGGCGGGGGAGCACCACAAGGGGUGAAGCUUGCGGUUUAAUUGGAUUCAACGCCGGG
Molecule: ribosomal RNA, 765 nt
Filed under: uncultured archaeon
Lineage: Archaea
Description: bacterial SSU rRNA
Rfam family: Archaeal small subunit ribosomal RNA
Source: RNAcentral